CCUACGGGAGGCAGCAGUGGGGAAUUUUGGACAAUGGGCGCAAGCCUGAUCCAGCAAUGCCGCGUGCAGGAUGAAGGCCUUCGGGUUGUAAACUGCUUUUGUACGGAACGAAACGGUGAGCUCUAAUACAGUUUGCUAAUGACGGUACCGUAAGAAUAAGCACCGGCUAACUACGUGCCAGCAGCCGCGGUAAUACGUAGGGUGCGAGCGUUAAUCGGAAUUACUGGGCGUAAAGCGUGCGCAGGCGGUGAUGUAAGACAGAUGUGAAAUGCCCGGGCUCAACCUGGGACCUGCAUUUGUGACUGCAUCGCUAGAGUACGGUAGAGGGGGAUGGAAUUCCGCGUGUAGCAGUGAAAUGCGUAGAUAUGCGGAGGAACACCGAUGGCGAAGGCAAUCCCCUGGACCUGUACUGACGCUCAUGCACGAAAGCGUGGGGAGCAAACAGGAUUAGAUACCCUGGUAGUCCACGCCCUAAACGAUGUCAACUGUGUUGGGUCUUCACUGACUCAGUAACGAAGCUAACGCGUGAAGUUGACCGCCUGGGGAGUCGCGCGAAGUUGAAACGUCAAAGGAUUGACGGCGNGAGAGNGCGAGGACGACGACGAGGGAGGAG
This 613-nucleotide ribosomal RNA is filed under the name uncultured bacterium. RNAcentral's name for it is "bacterial SSU rRNA". It matches the Rfam family "Bacterial small subunit ribosomal RNA", at positions 338 to 950 of the family's 1533-position model. The record is from RNAcentral.